AGAUUGAACGCUGGCGGCAUGCCUUACACAUGCAAGUCGAACGGCAGCACGGGGGCAACCCUGGUGGCGAGUGGCGAACAGGUGAGUAAUGCAUCGGAACGUGCCCAGUAGUGGGGGAUAACUAGUCGAAAGAUUAGCUAAUACCGCAUACGACCUACGGGUGAAAGCGGGGAUUCGCAAGAACCUCGCGCUAUCGGAGCGGCCGAUGUCUGAUUAGCUAGUUGGCGGGUAAAAGCCCACCAAGGCUUCGAUCAGUAGCUGGUCUGAGAGGACGACCAGCCACACUGGGACUGAGAC
Molecule: ribosomal RNA, 297 nt
Filed under: uncultured soil bacterium
Lineage: Bacteria
Description: partial 16S ribosomal RNA
Rfam family: Bacterial small subunit ribosomal RNA
Source: RNAcentral